CACACUGGACUGAGACACGGUCCAGACUCCUACGGGAGGCAGCAGUGGGGAAUAUUGCACAAUGGGCGCAAGCCUGAUGCAGCCAUGCCGCGUGUGUGAAGAAGGCCUUCGGGUUGUAAAGCACUUUCAGUCGUGAGGAAGGUAGUGUAGUUAAUAGCUGCAUUAUUUGACGUUAGCGACAGAAGAAGCACCGGCUAACUCCGUGCCAGCAGCCGCGGUAAUACGGAGGGUGCGAGCGUUAAUCGGAAUUACUGGGCGUAAAGCGCAUGCAGGUGGUUUGUUAAGUCAGAUGUGAAAGCCCGGGGCUCAACCUCGGAAUAGCAUUUGAAACUGGCAGACUAGAGUACUGUAGAGGGGGGUAGAAUUUCAGGUGUAGCGGUGAAAUGCGUAGAGAUCUGAAGGAAUACCGGUGGCGAAGGCGGCCCCCUGGACAGAUACUGACACUCAGAUGCGAAAGCGUGGGGAGCAAACAGGAUUAGAUACCCUGGUAGUCCACGCCGUAAACGAUGUCUACUUGGAGGUUGUGGCCUUGAGCCGUGGCUUUCGGAGCUAACGCGUUAAGUAGACCGCCUGGGGAGUACGGUCGCAAGAUUAAAACUCAAAUGAAUUGACGGGGGCCCGCACAAGCGGUGGAGCAUGUGGUUUAAUUCGAUGCAACGCGAAGAACCUUACCUACUCUUGACAU
RNAcentral lists this ribosomal RNA (685 nucleotides) under Vibrio sp. a271. Its description in RNAcentral is "bacterial SSU rRNA". It matches the Rfam family "Bacterial small subunit ribosomal RNA", at positions 309 to 987 of the family's 1533-position model. Lineage: Bacteria; Pseudomonadati; Pseudomonadota; Gammaproteobacteria; Vibrionales; Vibrionaceae. The record is from RNAcentral.